GAUGAACGCUAGCGGCAGGCCUAAUACAUGCAAGUCGAACGGGAUCCAGAUCAAAGCUUGCUUUGGUCUGGUGAGAGUGGCGCACGGGUGCGUAACGCGUGAGCAACCUACCCUUGUCAGGGGGAUAGCCCGGCGAAAGUCGGAUUAAUACCGCAUGACAUCAUUGAGAGGCAUCUUUCGAUGAUCAAAGAUUUAUCGGACAAGGAUGGGCUCGCGUGACAUUAGCUAGUUGGUAAGGUAACGGCUUACCAAGGCUGCGAUGUCUAGGGGCUCUGAGAGGAGAAUCCCCCACACUGGUACUGAGACACGGACCAGACUCCUACGGGAGGCAGCAGUAAGGAAUAUUGGUCAAUGGACGGAAGUCUGAACCAGCCAUGCCGCGUGCAGGAAGACGGCCCUAUGGGUUGUAAACUGCUUUUAUACGGGAACAAACGUCGGUACGUGUACCGGUCUGAGUGGACCGUAAGAAUAAGGAUCGGCUAACUCCGU
Molecule: ribosomal RNA, 489 nt
Filed under: uncultured bacterium
Lineage: Bacteria
Description: partial 16S ribosomal RNA
Rfam family: Bacterial small subunit ribosomal RNA
Source: RNAcentral